Molecule: ribosomal RNA, 253 nt
Filed under: uncultured bacterium
Lineage: Bacteria
Description: partial 16S ribosomal RNA
Rfam family: Bacterial small subunit ribosomal RNA
Source: RNAcentral
UACGAAGGGGGCUAGCGUUGCUCGGAAUCACUGGGCGUAAAGCGCACGUAGGCGGCUCUCUAAGUCAGGGGUGAAAUCCUGGAGCUCAACUCCAGAACUGCCUUUGAUACUGGAGAGCUUGAGUCCGGGAGAGGUGAGUGGAACUCCGAGUGUAGAGGUGAAAUUCGUAGAUAUUCGGAAGAACACCAGUGGCGAAGGCGGCUCACUGGCCCGGUACUGACGCUGAUGUGCGAAAGCGUGGGGAGCAAACAGG